Molecule: non-coding RNA, 133 nt
Organism: Pelobates cultripes (western spadefoot toad)
Lineage: Eukaryota; Metazoa; Chordata; Amphibia; Anura; Pelobatidae
Source: the annotation of a GenBank genome assembly
UGUUUGCAUAGUGUGUGUAUAUAAUGCAGUGUGUUUGUAUAGUGUGUGUGUAUAUAAUGCAGUGUGUUUGUAUAGUGUGCAUUAUAUAAACACUACACAAACACACUGCAUUAUAUACACACACUAUGCAAAC